Molecule: ribosomal RNA, 739 nt
Filed under: uncultured Clostridia bacterium
Lineage: Bacteria; Bacillati; Bacillota; Clostridia
Description: bacterial SSU rRNA
Rfam family: Bacterial small subunit ribosomal RNA
Source: RNAcentral
UAAUGAAAGAUGAGCGGCGGACGGGUGAGUAACGCGUGGGUAACCUGCCCUAUACACAUCGGAUAACCAAUACUGAAAAGUUUACUAAUACUGAUAAUAUAUAUUUACGGCAUCGUAGAUAUAUCAAAGUGUUAGCGGUAUAGGAUGGACCCGCGUCUGAUUAGCUAGUUGGUGAGAUAACUGCCCACCAAGGCGACGAUCAGUAGCCGACCUGAGAGGGUGAUCGGCCACAUUGGAACUGAGACACGGUCCAAACUCCUACGGGAGGCAGCAGUGGGGAAUAUUGCACAAUGGGCGCAAGCCUGAUGCAGCAACGCCGCGUGAACGAUGAAGGUCUUCGGAUCGUAAAGUUCUGUUGCAGGGGAAGAUAAUGACGGUACCCUGUGAGGAAGCCCCGGCUAACUACGUGCCAGCAGCCGCGGUAAUACGUAGGGGGCUAGCGUUAUCCGGAUUUACUGGGCGUAAAGGGUGCGUAGGUGGUCUUUCAAGUCGGUGGUUAAAGACUACGGCUCAACCGUAGUUAGCCUCCGAAACUGGAAGACUUGAGUGCAGGAGAGGAAAGUGGAAUUCCCAGUGUAGCGGUGAAAUGCGUAGAUAUUGGGAGGAACACCAGUAGCGAAGGCGGCUUUCUGGACUGCAACUGACACUGAGGCACGAAAGCGUGGGUAGCAAACAGGAUUAGUAUACCCUGGUAGUCCACGCUGUAAACGAUGAGUACUAGGUGUCGGGGGUUACCCCC